Molecule: ribosomal RNA, 468 nt
Filed under: uncultured bacterium
Lineage: Bacteria
Description: partial 16S ribosomal RNA
Rfam family: Bacterial small subunit ribosomal RNA
Source: RNAcentral
GACGAACGCUGGCGGCGUGCUUAACACAUGCAAGUCGAACGGAAAGGCCCUGCUUUUGUGGGGUGCUCGAGUGGCGAACGGGUGAGUAACACGUGAGUAACCUGCCCUUGACUUUGGGAUAACUUCAGGAAACUGGGGCUAAUACCGGAUAGGAGCUCCUGCUGCAUGGUGGGGGUUGGAAAGUUUCGGCGGUUGGGGAUGGACUCGCGGCUUAUCAGCUUGUUGGUGGGGUAGUGGCUUACCAAGGCUUUGACGGGUAGCCGGCCUGAGAGGGUGACCGGCCACAAUGGGACUGAGAUACGGCCCAGACUCCUACGGGAGGCAGAGGUGGGGAAUAUUGCACAAUGGGCGGGAGCCUGAUGCAGCAACGCCGCGUGCGGGAUGACGGCCUUCGGGUUGUAAAGCGCAGUCGCCUGUGACGAAGCGUGAGUGACGGUAAUGGGUAAAGAAGCACCGGCUAACUACGUG